AUUGAACGCUGGCGGCAGGCCUAACACAUGCAAGUCGAACGAGUGGCGGACUGGUGAGUAAUGUCUGGGAAACUGCCCGAUGGAGGGGGAUAACUACUGGAAACGGUAGCUAAUACCGCAUACCAUCGGAUGUGCCCAGAUGGGCUUAGCUAGUUGGGGGGGUAACGGCUCACCUAGGCGACGAUCCCUAGCUGGUCGGAGAGGAUGACCAGCCACACUGGAACUGAGACAGGGUCCAGACUCCUACGGGAGGAAGCAGUGGGGAAUAUUGCACAAUGGGCGCAAGCCUGAGGCAGCCAUGCCGCGUGUAUGAAGAAGGCCUUCGGGUUGUAAAGUACUUUCAGCGGGGAGGCGUUACCCGCAGAAGAAGCACCGGCUAACUCCGUGCCAGCAGCCGCGGUAAUUC
RNAcentral lists this ribosomal RNA (406 nucleotides) under uncultured bacterium. RNAcentral's name for it is "partial 16S ribosomal RNA". It matches the Rfam family "Bacterial small subunit ribosomal RNA", at positions 30 to 526 of the family's 1533-position model. The record is from RNAcentral.